RNAcentral lists this ribosomal RNA (492 nucleotides) under uncultured bacterium. Its description in RNAcentral is "partial 16S ribosomal RNA". It matches the Rfam family "Bacterial small subunit ribosomal RNA", at positions 29 to 507 of the family's 1533-position model. The record is from RNAcentral.
AGUGAACGCUGGCGGUAGGCCUAACACAUGCAAGUCGAACGGCAGCACAGUAAGAGCUUGCUCUUACGGGUGGCGAGUGGCGGACGGGUGAGGAAUACAUCGGAAUCUACUUUUUCGUGGGGGAUAACGUAGGGAAACUUACGCUAAUACCGCAUACGACCUACGGGUGAAAGCAGGGGAUCUUCGGACCUUGCGCGAUUGAAUGAGCCGAUGUCGGAUUAGCUAGUUGGCGGGGUAAAGGCCCACCAAGGCGACGAUCCGUAGCUGGUCUGAGAGGAUGAUCAGCCACACUGGAACUGAGACACGGUCCAGACUCCUACGGGAGGCAGCAGUGGGGAAUAUUGGACAAUGGGCGCAAGCCUGAUCCAGCCAUACCGCGUGGGUGAAGAAGGCCUUCGGGUUGUAAAGCCCUUUUGUUGGGAAAGAAAAGCAGCAGGUGAAUACCCCGCUGUUUUGACGGUACCCAAAGAAUAAGCACCGGCUAACUUCGUG